This 332-nucleotide unclassified non-coding RNA is filed under the name soil metagenome. RNAcentral's name for it is "partial contains 5.8S ribosomal RNA, internal transcribed spacer 2, and large subunit ribosomal RNA". The stretch from base 1 to 120 matches the Rfam family "5.8S ribosomal RNA", at positions 35 to 154 of the family's 154-position model. The record is from RNAcentral.
GAUGAAGAACGUAGCGAAAUGCGAUAAGUAGUGUGAAUUGCAGAAUUCAGUGAAUCAUCGAAUCUUUGAACGCACAUUGCGCCCCCUGGUAUUCCGGGGGGCAUGCCUGUUCGAGCGUCAUUUCACCACUCAAGCCUCGCUUGGUAUUGGGCGACGCGGUCCGCCGCGCGCCUCAAAUCGACCGGCUGGGUCUUCCGUCCCCUCAGCGUUGUGGAAACUAUUCGCUAAAGGGUGCCGCGGGAGGUCACGCCGCAAAACAACCCCAUUUCUAAGGUUGACCUCGGAUCAGGUAGGGAUACCCGCUGAACUUAAGCAUAUCAAUAAGCGGAGGA